UCUGAGUAAUCACCGGUUCUAACAGCAUGAGACUAUGAAAUCCAAUGCUCUGGCACACGGGCUAAAAAAUUUGCUCGGGAAACAACGGCCUCAAACAUGGGUUCCGUCUUUUGGGUUGGGUUUUUAAUUUAUCCUUGCAUGGGAGGUUUUUUCUUCUCUCAGUAAUAUUACUCCUGAAAUUUGAAACGUCUCAUGUUCAAUGUUCCAAUAUUUUUUUAUCUUUAAAAAAAACUUAGAAACCCAGAAGCAUACGUUAUCGUCACUCGUAGACUAUUAUAAAUCAAGUCAUUCUAUUAUGGUUGAUGAAAUGCAAGUCAGGGACAGGGUUUGCAGAAAAAGACAAAAUGAUGAGCAUAUGUUAAUUAUUAUCCCAUUUGAGGAUGAAUAGCUCUGAGUUUUGUUGUGCCAUCUUCCCUUUUGUGCUUCUUGUUUAUUCCGAGCUGUUUUUGUCUAGCUAAGGGACUUUUUAUCUUUGUUUGGGUUGCAUGCCAGCAUUCUAUUGCUGUGAUUCUGCUGUCUUUCUGGUACUAUUGCAAUGUGCGGGAUUCAGUCGACAACCAGUGGAACGGUGCUUCAGUGGCUGCUAUGUCGGUUUGGAUCAUGGGCAAAGGUGAGUUGCGGGUUGGGCUUUCAUUUUUCUAUUUUUUUUUUUUUUUUCAAAUUGGGUUGGCUUGUGGAUUGGAUAUGGGUUGUGAAUUGUGGUUGGUUUGAUUAGUUUUAUUGGAUCUUUAGCCAGAUUACUUUUUGUACAAGCAUUAC
This 759-nucleotide long non-coding RNA is filed under the name Manihot esculenta (cassava). Its description in RNAcentral is "long non-coding RNA (MESC_LNC001902)". Lineage: Eukaryota; Viridiplantae; Streptophyta; Magnoliopsida; Malpighiales; Euphorbiaceae. The record is from RNAcentral.